GUGGGUGCGGUGCGGUGGUA
Molecule: unclassified non-coding RNA, 20 nt
Filed under: Chlamydomonas reinhardtii
Lineage: Eukaryota; Viridiplantae; Chlorophyta; Chlorophyceae; Chlamydomonadales; Chlamydomonadaceae
Description: small RNA Cre_2066
Source: RNAcentral